GACGGAGGAUGCAAGCGUUAUCCGGAAUGAUUGAGCGUAAAGCGUUCGCAGGUGGCUGUUCAAGUCUGCUGUCAAAGACCGAGGCUUAACCUCAGAAAGGCAGUGGAAACUGAGAGGCUGGAGUGCUGUAGGGGUAGGGGGAAUUCCCGGUGUAGCGGUGAAAUGCGUAGAUAUCAGGAGGAACACCCGUGGCGAAGGCGGCUUCCUGGCCAUCACCUGACGCUGAGGUGCGAAAGCUAGGGGAGCGAACGGG
RNAcentral lists this ribosomal RNA (253 nucleotides) under uncultured bacterium. RNAcentral describes it as "partial 16S ribosomal RNA". It matches the Rfam family "Bacterial small subunit ribosomal RNA", at positions 524 to 776 of the family's 1533-position model. The record is from RNAcentral.